UGGAGAUCUUACUGGGGAAGGGUAAAUGUUGCAUGCUUUUCCUUCAAAAACAAUUAAUCUCUUCCAGGAAGGAAAACAGCUCAUCUCUUGACAUGAGUGCAAUAGAGCAUUCCAGUUCUUGGUACCUCCAUGGCCUUCAAGUUGCUUCAUUCCUGCUUAACUACCAGUUCAACUCUGCCUGUUUCUGGCAGACUACUUUACCUCUUGACACAGGUCCAAAGGUGAUGGCAUCCUCAAGGUGUAACCCAGUGGUGUUGUCUAAUGCAGCUAGGUGUAUGGCCAACACAAGGCUCACCAUUUCACUUGAGAAACACGUUCAGAAAAAGAGGAAGAGGAGGAAGUGGUGUUGAGUUUGUCUUAACUCCAGAUCAAGCUCUGAUGGCAAGGGUUUAACCAAGCUUGAAAAUGGCAACCUGACCCCUGGAAUCCCCUUCAGCAGGCAGUGACACAGGAGAAAGCAAGGACGUGAAGGUGAG
Molecule: long non-coding RNA, 476 nt
Filed under: Gallus gallus (chicken)
Lineage: Eukaryota; Metazoa; Chordata; Aves; Galliformes; Phasianidae
Description: long non-coding RNA NONGGAT004231
Source: RNAcentral